AGUUGAUAACAUUUUAAAGGAAUUUUUAAAAUAUUUUUAAAAAGUGGUUUUCAGCAACUUUAUCCAAGCUGUUAAUGAGGAGGAUUAUGAAUUGAACAAUAGUAUUUCUAAACUGUUAAGCUUAGUGGCUUUAACAGAAGCAGUGUAAUGCCCAAGACUAAUUGUAAUGCCACUAUUCGUCAUGGCCAC
This 189-nucleotide long non-coding RNA is filed under the name Dasypus novemcinctus (nine-banded armadillo). Its description in RNAcentral is "lncRNA (ENSDNOG00000051631.1)". Lineage: Eukaryota; Metazoa; Chordata; Mammalia; Cingulata; Dasypodidae. The record is from RNAcentral.